UCUAAAAAUAAUUGUUGAAUAUCUGCAUAUCCAAAAAAUUCCAACAUCAAGCAACGGAAAAUGCAUGUUGCAAGUAAAUUACACGGACAUAAAGAAUAAGCAAAAAGAAAUAAAUAAGAAAAUGUUGAAACAAUAAUCCAAACCACGUUGGUGAGAAAUCAAUCUCAGAACUUAUGAAAUGUGUGUCUAUGUAUCCUAUUUUAUGUCAUCCUCAAGCAACGGAAAAUGCAUGUUGCAAGUAAAUUACACGGACAUAAAGAAUAAGCAAAAAGAAAUAAAUAAGAAAAUGUUGAAACAAUAAUCCAAACCACGUUGGUGAGAAAUCAAUCUCAGAACUUAUGAAAUGUGUGUCUAUGUAUCCUAUUUUAUGUCAUCC
RNAcentral lists this unclassified non-coding RNA (376 nucleotides) under Hevea brasiliensis (rubber tree). Lineage: Eukaryota; Viridiplantae; Streptophyta; Magnoliopsida; Malpighiales; Euphorbiaceae. The record is from RNAcentral.